UACGAAGGGGGCUAGCAUUGCUCGGAAUUACUGGGCGUAAAGCGCACGUAGGCGGAUCUUUAAGUCAGGGGUGAAAUCCCAAGGCUCAACCUUGGAACUGCCUUUGAUACUGGGGAUCUCGAGUCCGGAAGAGGGGAGUGGAACUGCGAGUGUAGAGGUGAAAUUCGUAGAUAUUCGGAGGAACACCAGUGGCGAAGGCGGCUCACUGGUCCAUUACUGACGCUGAGGUGCGAAAGCGUGGGGAGCAAACAGG
This 253-nucleotide ribosomal RNA is filed under the name uncultured bacterium. RNAcentral describes it as "partial 16S ribosomal RNA". It matches the Rfam family "Bacterial small subunit ribosomal RNA", at positions 524 to 776 of the family's 1533-position model. The record is from RNAcentral.